This 253-nucleotide ribosomal RNA is filed under the name uncultured prokaryote. RNAcentral describes it as "partial 16S ribosomal RNA". It matches the Rfam family "Bacterial small subunit ribosomal RNA", at positions 524 to 776 of the family's 1533-position model. The record is from RNAcentral.
UACGGGGGGAGCAAGCGUUGUUCGGAUUUACUGGGCGUAAAGGGCGCGUAGGCGGCGUAACAAGUCACUUGUGAAAUCUCCGGGCUUAACCCGGAGCGGCCAAGUGAUACUGUUGUGCUAGAGUGCGGAAGGGGCUACUGGAAUUCUCGGUGUAGCGGUGAAAUGCGUAGAUAUAGGAAGGAACACCAGUGGCGAAGGCGACCACCUGGACUGAUACUGACACUGAGGUGCGAAAGCGUGGGGAGCAAACAGG